RNAcentral lists this ribosomal RNA (424 nucleotides) under uncultured Clostridium sp. RNAcentral's name for it is "bacterial SSU rRNA". It matches the Rfam family "Bacterial small subunit ribosomal RNA", at positions 354 to 794 of the family's 1533-position model. Lineage: Bacteria; Bacillati; Bacillota; Clostridia; Eubacteriales; Clostridiaceae. The record is from RNAcentral.
UGGGGGAAUAUUGCACAAUGGGCGAAAGCCUGAUGCAGCGACGCCGCGUGAGUGAAGAAGUAUUUCGGUAUGUAAAGCUCUAUCAGCAGGGAAGAUAAUGACGGUACCUGACUAAGAAACCCCGGCUAACUACGUGCCAGCAGCCGCGGUAAUACGUAGGGGGCGAAGCGUUAUCCGGAUUUACUGGGUGUAAAGGGAGCGUAGACGGCAUGGCAAGUCUGAAGUGAAAACCCAGGGCUCAACCCUGGGACUGCUUUGGAAACUGUCAAGCUAGAGUGCAGGAGAGGUAAGUGGAAUUCCUAGUGUAGCGGUGAAAUGCGUAGAUAUUAGGAGGAACACCAGUGGCGAAGGCGGCUUACUGGACUGUAACUGACGUUGAGGCUCGAAAGCGUGGGGAGCAAACAGGAUUAGAUACCCUGGUAGU